UACAAGUACCGUGAGGGAAAGUUGCAAAGCACUUUGAAGAGAGAGUUAAAGAGGACGUGAAACCGGUAAGGUGGAAACGGAUAGAGUCGGCGUAUCAUUCAAUUAUUCAGUUACAUUAUUUUUAUGUUGUGACCUCUGAGCUCCAGAUUGGGACAGAGGGAAUCAGCAUAAUUUUUUGUGGUGCAUUUACUUGAUUGGUGCUUGGGGAUGUUUGAGGCAGAUUUGUUUCCGUCGUUUUGAGGCCAGCUUGCUGGUACCCAAACGGUGUUAGCAUUUUUUGUCUUGGGCAUUUGAGUAUGGCUCACGUGUAUUUAUUGGACAGAUCUGAGUGUAAGUUACGGUCGCAUGCGACACGUGCUUUUCAAUUAGUUCGGUCCAGUUAAUGCUCUCGUACUCGUUCCCCAUGUAAAAGCCGGUCAUCUAUCCGACCCGUCUUGAAACACGGACCAAGGAGUUUAUCGUGUGCGCAAGUUUUUGGGUGUUAAAAACUUAAAAGCGAAAUGAAAGUAAAUGACUCUUUAGAGUCUGAUGUGCGAUCUUGUAAAAAAGUGUAGCAUGGCCCCAUUCUAACUGUUUACAGUAGGGUGGCGGAAGAGCGUACGCGGUGAGACCCGAAAGAUGGUGAACUAUUCCUGAGCAGGACGAAGCCAGAGGAAACUCUGGUGGAAGUCCGAAGCGGUUCUGACGUGCAAAUCGAUCGUCUGACUUGGGUAUAGGGGCGAAAGACUAAUCGAACCAUCUAGUAGCUGGUUUCCUUCCGA
This 761-nucleotide ribosomal RNA is filed under the name Meloidogyne incognita (southern root-knot nematode). RNAcentral's name for it is "partial large subunit ribosomal RNA". It matches the Rfam family "Eukaryotic large subunit ribosomal RNA", at positions 343 to 964 of the family's 3401-position model. The record is from RNAcentral. Lineage: Eukaryota; Metazoa; Nematoda; Chromadorea; Rhabditida; Meloidogynidae.